UACGUAGGGUGCAAGCGUUAAUCGGAAUUACUGGGCGUAAAGCGUGCGCAGGCGGCUUUGCAAGACAGAUGUGAAAUCCCCGGGCUUAACCUGGGAACUGCAUUUGUGACUGCAUGGCUGGAGUGCGGCAGAGGGGGAUGGAAUUCCGCGUGUAGCAGUGAAAUGCGUAGAUAUGCGGAGGAACACCGAUGGCGAAGGCAACCCCCUGGGUUAACACUGACGCUCAUGCACGAAAGCGUGGGGAGCAAACAGG
RNAcentral lists this ribosomal RNA (253 nucleotides) under uncultured bacterium. Its description in RNAcentral is "partial 16S ribosomal RNA". It matches the Rfam family "Bacterial small subunit ribosomal RNA", at positions 524 to 776 of the family's 1533-position model. The record is from RNAcentral.